GUGAGUAAUAUAUCGGAGGGCCCUAGAGUGGGGGAUAACGUAGCGAAAGUUACGCUAAUACCGCAUACGAUCUAAGGAUGAAAGUGGGGGAUCGCAAGACCUCAUGCUCGUGGAGCGGCCGAUAUCUGAUUAGCUAGUUGGUAGGGUAAAAGCCUACCAAGGCAUCGAUCAGUAGCUGGUCUGAGAGGACGACCAGCCACACUGGAACUGAGACACGGUCCAGACUCCUACGGGAGGCAGCAGUGGGGAAUUUUGGACAAUGGGCGAAAGCCUGAUCCAGCAAUGCCGCGUGAGUGAAGAAGGCCUUCGGGUUGUAAAGCUCUUUUGUCAGGGAAGAAACGGUGAGAGCUAAUAUCUCUUGCUAAUGACGGUACCUGAAGAAUAAGCACCGGCUAACUACGUGCCAGCAGCCGCGGUAAUACGUAG
This 426-nucleotide ribosomal RNA is filed under the name Yersinia pestis. Its description in RNAcentral is "bacterial SSU rRNA". It matches the Rfam family "Bacterial small subunit ribosomal RNA", at positions 106 to 530 of the family's 1533-position model. Lineage: Bacteria; Pseudomonadati; Pseudomonadota; Gammaproteobacteria; Enterobacterales; Yersiniaceae. The record is from RNAcentral.